GACGAACGCUGGCGGCGUGCCUAACACAUGCAAGUCGAACGGAAGUAAGUGCUUCGGUAUUUACUUUAGUGGCGAACGGGUGAGUAACGCGUGAGGAACCUGCCUUUCAGUGGGGGACAACAGUUGGAAACGACUGCUAAUACCGCAUGACGCUUCUUAGGGGCAUCCCUGAGAAGUCAAAGCUUUAUGUGCUGAAAGAUGAGCUCGCGUCUGAUUAGCUAGUUGGCGGGGUAACGGCCCACCAAGGCGACGAUCAGUAGCCGGACUGAGAGGUUGAACGGCCACAUUGGGACUGAGACACGGCCCAG
RNAcentral lists this ribosomal RNA (308 nucleotides) under uncultured bacterium. RNAcentral's name for it is "bacterial SSU rRNA". It matches the Rfam family "Bacterial small subunit ribosomal RNA", at positions 28 to 334 of the family's 1533-position model. The record is from RNAcentral.